AACGAACGCUGGCGGCAUGCCUAACACAUGCAAGUCGAACGAGACCUUCGGGUCUAGUGGCGCACGGGUGCGUAACGCGUGGGAAUCUGCCCUUGGGUCCGGAAUAACUCAGAGAAAUUUGAGCUAAUACCGGAUGAUGACGUAAGUCCAAAGAUUUUAUCGCCCAGGGAUGAGCCCGCGUAGGAUUAGCUAGUUGGUGAGGUAAAGGCUCACCAAGGCGACGAUCCUUAGCNGGUCUGAGAGGAUGAUCAGCCACACUGGGACUGAGACACGGCCCAGACUCCUACGGGAGGGCAGCAGGUGGGAAUAUUGGACAAUGGGCGAAAGCCUGAUCC
This 335-nucleotide ribosomal RNA is filed under the name uncultured bacterium. RNAcentral describes it as "bacterial SSU rRNA". It matches the Rfam family "Bacterial small subunit ribosomal RNA", at positions 29 to 389 of the family's 1533-position model. The record is from RNAcentral.